Long non-coding RNA from Corticium candelabrum, 4320 nucleotides. RefSeq lists it as uncharacterized. The transcript is spliced from 9 exons. The record is from RefSeq and is a predicted model, not a curated record. Lineage: Eukaryota; Metazoa; Porifera; Homoscleromorpha; Homosclerophorida; Plakinidae.
UGCUAGUAGUUGCGGAGCUCAUAAUCACCCGUCCAUUGUACAAAGACAGUGUAGAACGUUGGGCAGAAGUUACACUGGGGAAUUGUUUGAAAGAUGGGUGUCAACCAAACGCAGUUCCAUGCCCCGUGUCUACCCAAUAUUUUCAAGCCUACAAGAAAGGCGAAGGUGCUUCAACAUCUUCUCUACCAUCAGAAACACUCUGUCCAAGUAAGAGAUGUCAGUGUGUACUGCAAGAAAUGCCCUAGCUGUGGUCUAUUCUACAGAUAUCAGGAUUAUGUUGAUGGUGUGCACAACUUUAAUGAUGUCACUUUGUUGUCUCUUCAACUGUGUUUUUUUCUCUGUCACAGUUUGCAGGCACAUACAAUACUGCUGUAGGUCGUGUUGUCACUGUCAUUGAGUCAAUGGCAGGCUCUAAAUUGUCUCACAACACCAUACUGGAUGGAUACUGUCACGUUGAGGCUUUAUCUGAGCACACAUAUGAGUUUUGUUGCAUUCACUGUGGAUAUCAUCCACCUAUUCUGAUUGUUGAUGUCAACAGAAAGGCAGCUAUCUCGUUGGCAAUGACAGAUCUAACUGUUCCUGAACCAUCUCCAGAAAAUGACAUAGUCAACUGUGAAGCAUACUGGAUGGAUACUGUCACGUUGAGGCUUUAUCUGAGCACACAUAUGAGUUUUGUUGCAUUCACUGUGGAUAUCAUCCACCUAUUCUGAUUGUUGAUGUCAACAGAAAGGCAGCUAUCUCGUUGGCAAUGACAGAUCUAACUGUUCCUGAACCAUCUCCAGAAAAUGACAUAGUCGACUGUGAAGCAUUUUGGACCAAAGUCGAAUAUGAGAUGCUUGCCGGAGGUUUCUGCGAAAGUCACAAUAAUCCAUUUAUGGUCAAGCCAGACUACACACGUUGGGCUCCAUGGAUUGGCCCAUUUACUCGUUGUGCGAGCAAUGUCUUGAACACGUACAGAGUAUCGAAAGUGUCAGAUCAACCGCAACAGUCAUAAUAAAACAACAGAACAUGACUUUUCAAUGAUUGCAGAGGACAGACUUGUUGAUCUCCUAGGCAACAGCUCUAGGGAAACAGUAAAGAAGCUUUGCAGGCAAGCAGGUGUUACUGACAAAGGGACAAAGGUGGAUUGUGUAAUACGUUUGCGUGAGAAAAUGAAUAACUGGAAGGUGUACGAUAAAGAAAUAAUCGGUGUGUAAUCGAAAAGGAAUCGGUGGUGUAUGUAGAUCUGACAAAGUAUGGUUAAAAAUUGUGGACAUGAAACUUUUUCCGGUACUGGCAUUAGGUUCUCAUAUUUGGGAUUAUGAUAGAUCUGAUGUAUCAUACAUAGUUAAUCAAGCAUGUCGAAUGGGUGGCAGAUGCGGGCUUGGGAUGAGGAAAUAUGAAUCCAUUCAUGAUAGGCUGAAGGAUGAUUUCAAAGAAGCUACAACAAGAGCUAAGGACAUGAGGCUUAAAUAUUUACGUAGAGCAGGACAGUCCGUUAAUUAUCUGGUGAGAGGUCUAUUUAUAUUAGCUGUAGAUAAAAAGUUUCAUGUAGGAAUGAUGUAGAUAUAUUUUAGUUUGUGCUGUCUGUUGUAGCUGGUGUAUUUUGUAGUCUGUUAGCUGUAUGUCUUAUGUCUUAGUUGUUUUUAUGUUUGCCCCAAGAGGGAACUGUACCUUUCUAGGUGCGACAGAAAUAUAUGAUAUCCUAUCAUAUCAAAGUGUUUUCAAAAAUUUGGGGUGCCUCAGGAGGCUGGUUGUCAGCCACUUGUCCCCAUCAACUUGUUUAUGCCCUGAAGUUUUUACUUCGUGCUGAAAGCCCAAGGCAUUAUGUUGAUGUCCUCAUGUCUGUGAAGCACCAACCGACUGUAACCAUUGUUGAUAUGGCUCACAUGGUUGCUGCACAUGGAAAUUCUCGCUUCCCACAUAUGUUUCAUCCAUAUCAUGGAAGGGUAACUGAAGCAACUCCAUCAAAUAUCCAGGCAGCUCAAAAUCAUUCUCUACUUAUACCAAUGCCGUGGCUACAGCAGACUGUGGCUAGCUACUAACAAUGAACAAUCAGCAGUUACUUUAGACCACAACUAUCAAGUGCGUACAGGAGUGUCUGCAAAGUAUUGUCUAUUUGACAAGCUGCAUGAAAGGAAUGCCAAACAGAAAGCAGAAAUUCUUCAGAGAAUAGAAUUUGUGCCGGAACUGAACGGCAUGAUCAGCACUGAAACAGAGGAACAGCUCAACAAUGCAAUGGGCAGAGAGAUACUUUCUGAAUACUAUGACUGCUGUUAGACAUAUUUUCUUGUUUCGAUCCAAUGUGGACUUGAAGAACAAUCGACUCAAUAUAAUGGCCACUGAACGCUUGAAGCAAACUCUACAAUGCUCAACAGAUGUUGAUUCUCUGAGACGAGUGGUGGCUGCAGGUAUAUCGUAAUUGGCAUGCUAAUGAAAGUAAGCACUACAACAACUGUAAAUUUGUCUUCAACGCUCCUUGUCUGUAAGUGAAGAGGAAAGUGGAGAUGGAAUGCUAGACUACGUAAAUAAUGUUUAGUGGUAGUAAUCUAAGCAAAUUCUAUAGGCAGGUGACAACAGAUGUCAACACUCAACUCCUUUCACAAUCACUGCAUUUUUGAUGCAAAUGACAAUACUGCAUUGCUAUAGUACUAUGUCAUCAUUUAUUUGGGUUUUAUGCAAAUUUAUAAUUUAUAUCAAUCUGUUUUAUCACAUCAAUAAAAAUCGUGUGAAAUUUUAAAUUAGGUGGAGAGAAAUCACAUCAAUUUAGCAAAUAAUACUGAAAUUUACAUGAUAUACAAUACAUGCGUAAACCUCCACAUCAAUUUCUUUUUCGUUCAGGAUAUUCAGUUGUGGUUACCAAUCAUUCAGGUAGGGCAUACCAAAACUUGUCUGUUCAAAGAUAUUUGACAUGUUGAUUGUCUAGAAAAUCCUAAUGGUAUUACAAUACAACAUAUGCAGAGCCAGCAGCAAUCAAGCCUAAAAGUAAAACUCAGACCUACUUUUGGUGCGUAUAAUUACUUAUUGUGACAUGCCAAGGAAAUUUGUCUGGGACAGCAGGGGAGCAAUCUAAGCAGAAUCAACUUUUCUUAAACUCGUGUGUGUGUGUGUGUGUGUGUGUGUGUGUGUGUGUGUGUGUGUGUGUGUGUGUUUGCAUUUAGAUUAUAUAUUUGUGUCAUUAGACUCAGAAGCAACCAGCUUUCUGUUGAACCUUCAGAUUGCUUUUAUGCAAUCAUCUUCAGACAAUAAAUCAACAAGUGACAAUAAACAGCUUCUUUCUUGAAGACUACAAGUGUCUGGCCUCAAACUCAGAGGGACAACGCCUCCUGAUGGAAACUGUCUCUUCCAUGCUGUAUCAGACCAGCUUCAAAGAGUAGAAGCCAAACAAAAGUACAACUACAUGGAACUACGAGCUCUCACAGUGAAGCACCUUACAAAUUGUCCAUUCAUUGUAAAGCAUUUCCACAAGUAUUGGAAAGUUGACAAUAUAAAUCUGCUUGCACAGGAUUCAAAUGGGCAACAGCUGGACACGAGCCACUUUGUCAAUGGCGGCGACUGGUGUCAGUAUUUGGCCACUCUAAAAAAAAGAUGGAUCAUGGGGAGACCACAUUACAGUACUAGCACUGGCAACAGUGUUGUCUUACGACAUAAGAAUAGUCAGUAGUGCAUCUGGCACUGCUGAUUGCUUUGAUGUUAUCAUCAAACCAAACAAUCGUGCAGCUGUCCAUGACAUGCCAUUGCUUCUUGCACAUUAUGCAGAAAAUCAUUAUGAGAGCCUGGACAUCAUAGAAAAAGGUACCACAGAUGUUGACAACAUCCAUUCAGUAUCAACAUCUACACAUACAAUGGGUCAUUGCUCUAUAAAAUCUUAGCACUAACUACAAACUAACGUUAGUUGCUUCAACCAUAGGUAGCCUAGUGAACAUACCUACCAUUCAAACAUUUGAAGUUCUAGAAAAUAGCAAUAUUGGUACAUCAGUCAUCAGAUAAAAGAGUUGUCUACAAAUUGACUGUCUGAUUAAUCGUGUGUAGAAAGUCCUCCAGGUGACCAGAAACAGGAUUUAUUUUUCCACUUAACCAGACAGGACAAGCUGGACAUUGACCACAUGGUUCUCUUGCAAUUUUGCAAACAAUACCUAUGACUGAGAUUUCUGUGUACUUCCUUGUAUUAUGUAUAUGACCACCGCAUUCCAAAGAAUUGAUGAUGACACACCAUUCAUGUAUUCAGUCACCGGAGAAGUAAAGUUUCGUGACCUUUUAAGACUUCAACCAAACCGUUGGUUAAUGCACCUGUUCUCCAAAACACCAGCAACGUCUUCGAAGAGAAGACGUUCAGCGGGA